AGUAACUGCGAGUGAAGCGGGAAAAGCUCAAAUUUAAAAUCCUUCGGGAAUUGUAGUCUCGAGAAGCAUUUUCGGCCGUGGCCUCGGACAAGUCCCUUGGAACAGGGCGUCAUAGAGGGUGAGAAUCCCGUCCUUGCCGAGCACACCAUGUCUAUGUGAUAUGCUUUCGAAGAGUCGAGUUGUUUGGGAAUGCAGCUCAAAAUGGGUGGUAAACUCCAUCUAAAGCUAAAUAUUGGCGAGAGACCGAUAGCGAACAAGUACCGUGAGGGAAAGAUGAAAAGCACUUUGGAAAGAGAGUUAAACAGUACGUGAAAUUGUUGAAAGGGAAGCGCUUGAAGUCAGUCGCGUCUCCGGAGACUCAGCCUCACGGCGCAUUUCUUCGUUGACGGGCCAACAUCAGUUUUGGCCGCGGGAAAAGGACCUGGGGAAUGUGGCAGCUCCGGCUGUGUUAUAGCCUCUUGUCGUACACCGCGGCUGGGACUGAGGACUGCUUAAUAGGAUGUUGGCGUAAUGGCUUUAAGCGACCCGUCUUGAAACACGGACCAAGGAGUCUAACAUGUCUGCGAGUGUUUGGGUGUCAAACCCAUGCGCGUAAUGAAAGUGAAUGCAGGUGGGAGGCCUCGGCCGCACCAUCGACCGAUCCGGAUCUUUAGUGAUGGAUUUGAGUAAGAGCAUAUAUGUUGGGACCCGAAAGAUGGUGAACUAUGCCUGAAUAGGGUGAAGCCAGAGGAAACUCUGGUGGAGGCUCGUAGCGAUUCUGACGUGCAAAUCGAUCGUCAAAUUUGGGUAUA
Molecule: ribosomal RNA, 791 nt
Filed under: Dacryopinax sp.
Lineage: Eukaryota; Fungi; Basidiomycota; Dacrymycetes; Dacrymycetales; Dacrymycetaceae
Description: partial large subunit ribosomal RNA
Rfam family: Eukaryotic large subunit ribosomal RNA
Source: RNAcentral